RNAcentral lists this ribosomal RNA (1700 nucleotides) under Ponyalis quadricollis. RNAcentral's name for it is "SSU rRNA". It matches the Rfam family "Eukaryotic small subunit ribosomal RNA", at positions 77 to 1665 of the family's 1831-position model. The record is from RNAcentral. Lineage: Eukaryota; Metazoa; Arthropoda; Insecta; Coleoptera; Lycidae.
UAAGGUGAAACCGCGAAAGGCUCAUUAAAUCAGUUAUGGUUCCUUAGAUCGUACCAACAUUUACUUGGAUAACUGUGGUAAUUCUAGAGCUAAUACAUGCAAACAGAGCUCCGACCGGAGACGGAAGGAGCGCUUUUAUUAGAUCAAAACCAAUCGGCGGCGGGUCCGCUUGCGGGCACGUCGUCGUUCGCAUUGACGAAUCUGAAUAACUUUCUGCUGAUCGCACGGUCUCGCACCGGCGACGCAUCUUUCAAAUGUCUGCCUUAUCAACUGUCGAUGGUAGGUUCUGUGCCUACCAUGGUUGUAACGGGUAACGGGGAAUCAGGGUUCGAUUCCGGAGAGGGAGCCUGAGAAACGGCUACCACAUCCAAGGAAGGCAGCAGGCGCGCAAAUUACCCACUCCCGGCACGGGGAGGUAGUGACGAAAAAUAACGAUACGGGACUCAUCCGAGGCCCCGUAAUCGGAAUGAGAACAAUUUAAAUCCUUUAACGAGGAUCAAUUGGAGGGCAAGUCUGGUGCCAGCAGCCGCGGUAAUUCCAGCUCCAAUAGCGUAUAUUAAAGUUGUUGCGGUUAAAAAGCUCGUAGUCGAAUCUGUGUCCCGCGCCGCCGGUUCGUCGCUCGCGGCGUUUAACUGGCGUGUUCGCGGGACGUCCUGCCGGUGGGUUUAGCCCUUUCACGAGGGCGGCCCAAUUAUAAUCCCGCCGCGGUGCUCUUCACCGAGUGUCGAGGCGGGCCGGCACGUUUACUUUGAACAAAUUAGAGUGCUUAAAGCAGGCUAAAAUUUCGCCUGAAUACUUCGUGCAUGGAAUAAUGGAAUAGGACCUCGGUUCUAUUUUGUUGGUUUUCGGAACACCGAGGUAAUGAUUAAUAGGAACGGAUGGGGGCAUUCGUAUUGCGACGUUAGAGGUGAAAUUCUUGGAUCGUCGCAAGACGGACAGAAGCGAAAGCAUUUGCCAAAAACGUUUUCAUUGAUCAAGAACGAAAGUUAGAGGUUCGAAGGCGAUCAGAUACCGCCCUAGUUCUAACCAUAAACGAUGCCAGCUAGCGAUCCGCCGACGUUCCUCCGAUGACUCGGCGGGCAGCUUCCGGGAAACCAAAGCUUUUGGGUUCCGGGGGAAGUAUGGUUGCAAAGCUGAAACUUAAAGGAAUUGACGGAAGGGCACCACCAGGAGUGGAGCCUGCGGCUUAAUUUGACUCAACACGGGAAACCUCACCAGGCCCGGACACCGGAAGGAUUGACAGAUUGAGAGCUCUUUCUUGAUUCGGUGGGUGGUGGUGCAUGGCCGUUCUUAGUUGGUGGAGCGAUUUGUCUGGUUAAUUCCGAUAACGAACGAGACUCUGGCCUGCUAACUAGGCGUAUUUCCGACAUCUCGAAGGCCCGCCGGCCUGGUGCGCUCGCGCGCGCCUAGUCGUGCGUGGUUUUUACUGUCGGCGUACAAACAAUUCUUCUUAGAGGGACAGGCGGCUUCUAGCCGCACGAGAUAGAGCAAUAACAGGUCUGUGAUGCCCUUAGAUGUUCUGGGCCGCACGCGCGCUACACUGAAGGAAUCAGCGUGUCCUCCCUGGCCGAGCGGCCCGGGUAACCCGCUGAACCUCCUUCGUGCUAGGGAUUGGGGCUUGCAAUUGUUCCCCAUGAACGAGGAAUUCCCAGUAAGCGCGAGUCAUAAGCUCGCGUUGAUUACGUCCCUGCCCUUUGUAC